UACAGAGGUCUCAAGCGUUGUUCGGAUUCAUUGGGCAUAAAGGGUGCGUAGGUGGCGCCGUAAGUCGGGUGUGAAAUUUCGGAGCUUAACUCCGAAACUGCAUUCGAUACUGCGGUGCUUGAGGACUGGAGAGGAGACUGGAAUUCAUGGUGUAGCAGUGAAAUGCGUAGAGAUCAUGAGGAAGACUAGUGGCGAAGGCGGGUCUCUGGACAGUUCCUGACACUGAGGCACGAAGGCCAGGGGAGCAAACGGG
This 253-nucleotide ribosomal RNA is filed under the name uncultured bacterium. Its description in RNAcentral is "partial 16S ribosomal RNA". It matches the Rfam family "Bacterial small subunit ribosomal RNA", at positions 524 to 776 of the family's 1533-position model. The record is from RNAcentral.